Long non-coding RNA from Peromyscus californicus insignis, 3234 nucleotides. RefSeq lists it as uncharacterized. Lineage: Eukaryota; Metazoa; Chordata; Mammalia; Rodentia; Cricetidae. The record is from RefSeq and is a predicted model, not a curated record. The transcript has 4 exons.
GCCACAAUGCCAUGGACGACAGGACUCCAUCCCUUUUUAUGCAGGUGGGGGCAUUAUUCUGUAGUGUAUACGCUCCACAUAGCCUUUAUCUGUUCAGCUGGUGCACACGUUGGUGCUUCCAUAUCUUGGCCACUAGGAACAGUGCUGCAGUCAUAUGGCAGUGUAGAUGUGUGUUCCACAUACUGAUUUCAUCUCCUUUGGACACACACUCGGUAGAGAGAUUGCCAGAUCAUAUGGGAGCUUUAUUUUUAACUUCCGUGGGAUUUCCAUGCUGCUUCCCACAUUGUCUGGCAUUCCUGCCAGCUGUGUGCUGGGCUCCUUUUUCUUCCCAUCUCUGACAGCACCUCUUAUCUUUUGUCUUUGAAAUAGCCAUUGCUAGGUACUUGAGUUUUCAGCUCCACUUCCCGGAUGAUUAGUGAAGCAGAGCAUGUGUCUUUACUAUUUGUGUUAGUCAUUUGGACAUCUUCUCUUGAGAAAUGUCUACCCGAGUCUAUCACCCAUUUUAUCUUGGUGGGGAUUUUUUUGGUCUGUUUUUUGCUUCCGAUUUAUCUAUUAUUUUGCUAUUGCGUGCCAAAGUUCUUUAGAACCAUGGACCAGACAGACGUAGACUCUGAACUUUCUAGUGUUACAUACACACUUUUGUAGAGGAAUACUCUCUGGUGGAAAGGGAUCAAAGCUUUCUUGCUUCUACUGAGGCCAUCAUGCAUAAAACAUCAGUGCCUUCCAUGAACUUCUCUCAAAUGUGGAACAUAUCACAUACCUGUUUGGACAUUAGUUCUUAGAUUCCUGUUUAAGAUUGUUUGAUUAGGCAAUUUUUUCAUGGAGCCCAAGAAUGUGACUUUCUAACAAGGUUCCAGGAGACUCCACCACAGCUAAUCUUGGGGCCCUGAAUCAAGGAUCAUGACAGUAAAUGGUUGUGAUUCUAAGGAUGGAUAAGCAGAAUUGAGAACCAUCACUUUAGAGGUUGCAGGGUUUUAUGGUGAGGGUAAGGUAGGGAGGGGUUGAAUUGGGGUAGGAGACUCCUUUCCCUUUUAACUGUUUGGAUGGCAGAUAUUUCUGUCUAUCUCAAGUCAUACAUGUUGUGUUUAUUUGGUAGAAUUGACAUAGCAAAGAGUAGGUGUCUUAUAUAUCAACAAUUAUGUCUCUCAAUAACAGAGGCCAGCAGUCCAGGACCGAAAUAUCUGGAAGGUGGCUUCCUUCUGGUGCCUCUCAGGGAGGAGUCUACCUUCUUUCCCCUUGGCUUGUGGAUGUUUCUCUCUCUCUCUUGCUCUCUCUCGCUCUCUUGCUCUCUCUCUCUCGCUCUCUCUCUCCCUCCCCUCCAUUAGGUCUCCUCUGUAUGGAGGUGUGGUCGUUUGAAUAUAAUUGGACCUAUAAUCUCAUAGGGAGUGGCACUAUUAGGAGGUGUAGCUUUGUUGGAACAGGUGUGGCUUUGGAGGAAUUGUGUCACUGUGGAGGUGGGCUUUGAGGUCUUUUGCUAAAGCUUCAUUCAGUGUCAUCUGCAAGAUGUAGGACUCUCAGCCACUGCUCCAGCACCAUGUCUGCCUGCAUGCCACCAUGCUUCCUGCCAUGAUGAUAAUGGACUGAAACUGUAAGCAAGCCACCCCAAUUAAAUGUUUCCUUAUAAUAGUUGCCAUGGUCAUGGUGUCUUUUUACAACAAUAGAAACCCUAACUAAGAUAGUUGGGGUGGAAGUUUCUGUGUUUAAAUUUCUUUCUUUGGUACAACAACAGCCAUAUCAGAUUGGAGCCUACUCUGAUAUUCUCAACUUAGCUUGAUUAUGUCAUUUGUGUGUGUGUGUGUGUGUGUGUGUGUGUGUGUGUGUGUGUGUGUGUGUGCAUGCGCGGGGACACAGGGGUGGGAGGGUGGACUUGGGAGGAAUGUGAAGUGAGUGUGAUGGGGUGCGUUGUACAAAAUUCCCAAAUAAUUAAUAAAAAUAUUAUGUUGGGGAGAAUUUUUAUCUUCAAAUAAAGUCAUAUUCCAAGGAAUUGGAGACAAGACUUCAAUAAGUGAAUUUUGUUUUAUUGUGGAAGGAGAGCAGAGGGAUAUCAAUCUCCUACACAGAUGUUCUUUAUAAAAUUGAGACUAUCAAGGGUGGGGGAGGGGUAGGCCCUACUCUCUUCCCAUUUCAAACCAAAGCUUAUUCUAAUCAUAGACAAUCAGUCCUUUGGAACAGUCCUUUUCAACCUAUGGCACAGGCUCUCAACUUUCCACAGUGAUUUUGAGGCAAAGGAGUGGCAUGCCAGAAUGAACGCUCAUGUCAUCACUGUCCAACCAGAAACGAGUCACGUGUUGCCAGGAGCCCAUCAUGGGACACCAGGAGUUACAGCUGCACACAGACCCCAAGAAAACCUGCACAUCCUUUCCAGUCUAGAUGACAAAGAACUUCCCAAGAUGUUUACAUGGAUUCGUCAUGCUCUGAGCACUGGAGAGCCAGGCCUAAUGUGUUUUUGGUUUUUCUAAGUAUAAUGUAUUUUAAUGUAAUGCGACAAUAUUUAAGCUGUGGGACACCAGGUUUUUAACAACUUAAUUCUCUAUGCUGAAGUAGCACUGUUAAUCAUAUACUUGGGGAUUGUUUUUAGGCAGAGAAAAAAUUGUAUAAUCAGACCUUAGCAUGAUUUUUAUUUCCUUGUCAGAACAUAGCUGCUAUAGUAUCCUGACGUGUCCACAGUGGAGAAGGAAAACUGAAAUAAAUGUUUCCCUUUUAUGAGGGGAAUGAAGAACAGAGUUUCUAUGAAAGAAGUAACUACAUAUUCAACACUUUGCACACGUCACCUGAAACUUUAACGUGAGGGUGAAGCUGAAUGGAAUUUCAUGAAGUUCUGUGUAUCCUUUUAUAUCUUGAUUUUUAAAUUCUUACAAAAUAUAACAAUAAAGAAUAGCAUGGUUUCUACAAAAAUUAUCCAAUUUCUAAAAACUUAAACUCAAACAAAAUCCUAGUUAGCUGAAGUCAGAGCAAAGUUUAUGUGUAAGUUGAUGACUGUAAAUUUAGGUCCCCCACCGGGAGUCACUAGGUGAUGCCUGAGGUUGUUAAGUAGAUUCUGAAUACACAUGUGGAAAUGUAUUGCUAUUAUUAGUUGGUUCCUUAGAAGGAACCAAGGAAAAGCACUUCUGAGUUCUGUAGACUGUCUCUGCACACUGAAACAAGCUGUCGGGGUACCCUCACCCUCAUUUCUAAAUUCAGUCUUUGGAGAAUGGAGAACUCUUUGUGGAGAAAGGUGAACAGACUCUGAAUUCA